RNAcentral lists this non-coding RNA (75 nucleotides) under Trypanosoma cruzi strain CL Brener. Lineage: Eukaryota; Euglenozoa; Kinetoplastea; Trypanosomatida; Trypanosomatidae. The record is from RNAcentral.
CCCUGGCGCAGCCGGCCACCUCGACGCGGCGCCAGGGUCUAGCACUCUCUUACUAGAGAGGAAGAUAAGCGUCUG